This 510-nucleotide ribosomal RNA is filed under the name uncultured bacterium. RNAcentral describes it as "partial 16S ribosomal RNA". It matches the Rfam family "Bacterial small subunit ribosomal RNA", at positions 28 to 507 of the family's 1533-position model. The record is from RNAcentral.
GACGAACGCUGGCGGCGUGCUUAACACAUGCAAGUCGAACGAAGAGCGAUGGAAGCUUGCUUCUCUCAAUCUUAGUGGCGAACGGGUGAGUAACGCGUAAUCAACCUGCCCUUCAGAGGGGGACAACAGUUGGAAACGACUGCUAAUACCGCAUACGAUCUAAUCUCGGCAUCGAGGAUAGAUGAAAGGUGGCCUCUACAUGUAAGCUAUCACUGAAGGAGGGGAUUGCGUCUGAUUAGCUAGUUGGAGGGGUAACGGCCCACCAAGGCGAUGAUCAGUAGCCGGUCUGAGAGGAUGAACGGCCACAUUGGGACUGAGACACGGCCCAGACUCCUACGGGAGGCAGCAGUGGGGAAUCUUCCGCAAUGGACGAAAGUCUGACGGAGCAACGCCGCGUGAGCGAUGACGGCCUUCGGGUUGUAAAGCUCUGUUAAUCGGGACGAAAGGCCUUCUUGCGAAUAGUGAGAAGGAUUGACGGUACCGGAGUAGAAAGCCACGGCUAACUACGUG